Molecule: long non-coding RNA, 1152 nt
Filed under: Homo sapiens (human)
Lineage: Eukaryota; Metazoa; Chordata; Mammalia; Primates; Hominidae
Description: HSALNT0127982
Source: RNAcentral
GACUCAGGAGCCCAGCUGGCUUCACGUAGUGGAUCCCGCCGCGGGGACGCGGGCGGAGCUGCCCGCCAGUCCCACGCGCGCGCGCGCGCGCUCCCGCACUCCUCACCCCUUGGGCGGUCAAUGGAACCGGGUGCUGCCAAACAUGGGGCGGCGCACGUCACGGAGGCCCGGCUGCCCGGGAGCCCGCCGCAGUGGCGGGGGGCGGGGCUUGGGCAUGGCGGGCUGCAGGUCCUGAGCCCUCCCCUGGGGGUAGGCGGCUGAGGCCUGUUGAGAAUUAAAGCGCGGCGCGGGCGGGCUGGCAGUGCUGGGGGACCCGGCGCACCCUCCACAGCUGCUGGCCCCGGUGCUAAGCCCCGCUGAGCCUGCGCCCACCCGGAACUGGCGCUGGCUCGCGAGCGCGGCGCGCAGCCCCAGCUCCCGCCCGUGCCUCUCCCUCCACACCUCCCUGCAAGCAGAGGGAGCCGGCUCCGGCCUCAGCCAGCCCAGAAGGGGGCUCCCACAGCGCAGCAGCGGGCUGAGGGGCUCCUCAAGCACUGCCAGAGUGGACGCUGUGGCCUAAAGAGCAUUUGAGGAAACUGUCUUCCUGAACUCCACAAAUUUUGUAUGUUAUUUCAGCACUUGAGGAAACCGUCUUCCUGAACUCCACUGCAUCUCAGAUGUGCUGUUACCUGGGAGUUCAUUUGAAAAACAGGGGACAAAGCUGAGAGUCAUCAUUAUACUAAAAAUAAAGAUGCUUCAAAUCUGAAAAUAUUUAUAGAGGCUUGCUAGGAAAGAUAACUGUUAGAACUUUGGUUCAAAUGAAUGAAAAUAUUGAAUUCCAAAAAGCAUCCAAUGAAUGGCAGCUUUGUUCACUUUAAAUUCAUACAAUUACUCAGAUUCACUUAAUAUGUUUUAUUAAAUGUCUUUAUUAGUAGAUAGAAAUGAUUCAUGAAGCAGUAUAUUAAGCUAUCAACCCAUAUAAUCAAGUUUCAAUUCCUACUGCAGGAAUAUUUUUGAAUUUGCAGUAUCCAAAAUAUUUCCUUGAUGCCUGGAACUUGUUUUGUAAGAAAUGACAUUUCUUAAUUUUUAUUUCAAUGCUGAUUUCUUACCAACUCUUUAUGAUUAUCAUGACCAAUGUAAACCUUGGUUCACACCCUUUUUCAAGUUACCACA